Molecule: ribosomal RNA, 592 nt
Filed under: Streptomyces sp. SBSK-8
Lineage: Bacteria; Bacillati; Actinomycetota; Actinomycetes; Kitasatosporales; Streptomycetaceae
Description: bacterial SSU rRNA
Rfam family: Bacterial small subunit ribosomal RNA
Source: RNAcentral
GGCUAAAACUCAAAGGAAAUUGACGGGGGCCCGCACAAGCGGCGGAGCAUGUGGCUUAAUUCGACGCAACGCGAAGAACCUUACCAAGGCUUGACAUACACCGGAAAGUGGCAGAGAUAUCAGCCCCCCUUUGGGCGGUGUACAGGUGGUGCAUGGCUGUCGUCAGCUCGUGUCGUGAGAUGUUGGGUUAAGUCCCGCAACGAGCGCAACCCUUGUCCUGUGUUGCCAGCAACUCUUCGGAGGUUGGGGACUCACGGGAGACUGCCGGGGUCAACUCGGAGGAAGGUGGGGACGACGUCAAGUCAUCAUGCCCCUUAUGUCUUGGGCUGCACACGUGCUACAAUGGCCGGUACAAUGAGCUGCGAUGCCGUGAGGUGGAGCGAAUCUCAAAAAGCCGGUCUCAGUUCGGAUUGGGGUCUGCAACUCGACCCCAUGAAGUCGGAGUCGCUAGUAAUCGCAGAUCAGCAUUGCUGCGGUGAAUACGUUCCCGGGCUUGUACACACCGCCCGUCACGUCACGAAAGUCGGUAACACCCGAAGCCGGUGGCCCAACCCCCUUUGUGGGGAGGGAAUCGUCGAAGGUGGACUGGCGA